UCGGAGUAAAGUCGUUCGUAGUCGAAAGAAGUCUGGAAGAGAUUCAGAGAAUAGUCGAUCACUGUAGAAAAUCGGCUGAUAGUGAAGUUCAGAAAGCAUUUGGAGCAACCCGGUAGAUGAAUGGAGGAGCUUAUUAUCGAAGAAGUCCAGAUGGUAUUGUGGAAGCUCGGACGAUCAAGAGAGUUUAGAAAGACGCCACACA
This 202-nucleotide long non-coding RNA is filed under the name Elaeis guineensis (African oil palm). Its description in RNAcentral is "long non-coding RNA (EGUI_LNC048636)". Lineage: Eukaryota; Viridiplantae; Streptophyta; Magnoliopsida; Arecales; Arecaceae. The record is from RNAcentral.